GUCUACUGCCAUGCCACCCUGAAUGUGCCAGGUCUGAUCUCGGAAGCCAAGCAGGGUCAGGCCUGGUUAGUACUUGGAUGGGAGACCACCUAGGAAUACCAAGUGCUGUAGGUG
Molecule: ribosomal RNA, 114 nt
Filed under: Pteropus alecto (black flying fox)
Lineage: Eukaryota; Metazoa; Chordata; Mammalia; Chiroptera; Pteropodidae
Also listed under: 1 other name
Source: RNAcentral